AUACGUAGGGGGCGAGCGUUGUCCGGAAUGAUUGGGCGUAAAGGGCGCGUAGGCGGCUUUGCAAGUCAGUAGUGGAAGUCCAUUUUUCAAGGAUGGAAGUGCUACAGAAACUGCGGAGCUUGAGUGCAGGAGAGGUUAUCGGAAUUCCCGGUGUAGCGGUGAAAUGCGUAGAGAUCGGGAGGAACACCAGUGGCGAAGGCGGGUAACUGGACUGCAACUGACGCGGAGGAGCGAACGUGUGGGGAGCAAACAGGAUUAGAUACCCUGGUAGUCCACACUGUAAACGAUGAAUGCUAGGUGUAGGAGGUAUCGCCCCCUUCUGUGCCGCAGUAAACACAGUAAGCAUUCCGCCUGGGGAGUACGGUCGCAAGAUUAAAACUCAAAUGAAUUGACGGGG
RNAcentral lists this ribosomal RNA (397 nucleotides) under uncultured bacterium. RNAcentral describes it as "partial 16S ribosomal RNA". It matches the Rfam family "Bacterial small subunit ribosomal RNA", at positions 523 to 918 of the family's 1533-position model. The record is from RNAcentral.